Molecule: ribosomal RNA, 460 nt
Filed under: uncultured bacterium
Lineage: Bacteria
Description: partial 16S ribosomal RNA
Rfam family: Bacterial small subunit ribosomal RNA
Source: RNAcentral
CCUACGGGUGGCAGCAGUGAGGAAUAUUGGUCAAUGGCCUUAAGCCUGAACCAGCCAAGUCGCGUGAGGGACGACUGCCCUAUGGGUUGUAAACCUCUUUUGUCAGGGAGCAACGCCGGCUACGUGUAGCCGGACUGAGAGUACCUGAAGAAAAAGCAUCGGCUACCUCCGUGCCAGCAGCCGCGGUAAUCCGGGGGAUGCGAGCUUUAUCCGGAUUUUUUGGGUUAAAGGGGUGCGUAGGCGGAAUGCCAAGUCAGCGGUAAAAGCGCGGGGCUCAACCGCGCUCCGCCGUUGAAACUGGCGGUCUGGAGUGGGCGAGAAGUAUGCGGAAUGCGUGGUGUAGCGGUGAAAUGCAUAGAUAUCGCGCAGAACUCCGAUUGCGAAGGCAGCAUACCGGCUCCCAACUGACGCUGAGGCACGAAAGCGUGGGUAUCGAACAGGAUUAGAUACCCCGGUAGUC